CGGGCCGUAGCGCAGCCUGGUAGCGCACUUCCUUGGGGUGGAAGGGGUCGGGAGUUCAAAUCUCCCCGGCCCGACCA
RNAcentral lists this transfer RNA (77 nucleotides) under Planctomycetaceae bacterium. Its description in RNAcentral is "tRNA-Pro". It matches the Rfam family "tRNA". Rfam says of the family: Transfer RNA (tRNA) molecules are approximately 80 nucleotides in length. Lineage: Bacteria; Pseudomonadati; Planctomycetota; Planctomycetia; Planctomycetales; Planctomycetaceae. The record is from RNAcentral.